GCCUCCCCGGAGCAUACAGCAGCCCCGAGCCAAAUGUGAUGGACGAACGGACGUUAGUGGGAAAAUGGUGCGGCAUUUGGAUGGAGGGGCCCCACGGUCUUGCAGGGCCAGAAGCUGUGGAUCGGAAGCACCGUUCCUCGUAUCUUACGCAAAGUUUGCCAGGGCCAACCGGCUGGUUCUGAGCAGGGGGCGAGGAGCGCGAGGGACUUGUACAUGACCCUGCAGAAGCCCCAGAGGUCACGCGUGAAGGGCAUCACAAGAUGGAAUUGAGUCACCACGAAGAGCACAGCGGCCCUUGACGGUCACCUGAUUCAUCCAGGCCUUUGUGGGAGUGAAACACAAACCUCUAUGGGGUUGGCCUUCUGAAAUGAAACACUGGGAUUUUUUGUGACUGUCGAGAAGCCCAGCUUAACCUAUUGAUCCAACAGGAUGCUGAAGAGGGCGCCUAUCAUCACCCCAUUUUGGAAGACCCCAU
This is a long non-coding RNA of Hyaena hyaena (striped hyena), 475 nucleotides long. RefSeq lists it as uncharacterized. The record is from RefSeq and is a predicted model, not a curated record. NCBI's taxonomy places the organism in Eukaryota, Metazoa, Chordata, Mammalia, Carnivora, Hyaenidae. The transcript has 3 exons.